GGGGAGGUGACCUCGGCCACGCCAGCGCGGUGCCCAGGGCGAAGGGGAUGGGACCUGAUCCAUCCCGUCAUCGGAAGAGUUUUACUGCAAAUAGCCAUGGCACCCCGGAUCAGACUGAGCCUUUCCAAGCCUCUCCCAACCAUACGGGAAACCCACGAGGAAGCGAUGGAGGAUUCAAGCAGCAACCCAAAGUGUGCUGGAAGUGCUGCAGCCAGCCCAGCCUCGUACUCCAGCGAUGACUACAUCCAAUCCAUCUGCCACCUCGCCAGACCCACCUUCCCAGCCCUUCUGGAAAGCAGACGUAAGGGUAAGGACAGAAAGACCCCGAAGACUUCUGAGGAUGUGUCAGGUUCUCCACCACUUGUGGGGACACAGCAGGCAAGGUCAAAAUGCAAAUUGACCAAUUUCAUCUCGAAUGUGGUGCCACUGGGAAAAGUCUCACCUGCAGAAACCGACUUUUGGUCCAGAGAGGACCCCCUGGAACAAAUUUACACCAAUGCAGGAAAUCUUUGCUCCUCCAAGGCUUCUUCCUAUGUUGAAAGUGCCAGCAGUGGUUACUCACAGUGCAACUCUUCUGCCCCAAAUGGUGACCUUCAUCCCACAAACCUGGAAGAAAAAAACACAGGGAAAAACAGUUUUCCACGAGUGUUCAGUUUUCCAAGGCUUCCCUCCCCAAGACCGGUUCAGAAAGAAGCAGUAUGCUCAGAGCUGAGGUAUCUCAGAAGGAGGGAAGGUGGCAGGAAACCCUGCCUUGCCCUGCUCUGAAGGAAGGCAGAAUUUGUUCAAUGCAGCAGGCAUAGAUGAAAAAGAAGGGAGAAAAACUUCUCACUGUGACAAAAAUGUCACGGGUGGUGUUCCCACUAAGCAGAGAUACUUCGAGUCUUUCCAGGUACCUAAAAAAGCCACCAUCCAUAACUGGAUUUCAGAGCACAGAUGCAUCUGGAAAGAAGCAAAGAUAAAAGCUUGUUUGCUCCCAGCCAUUGCUGAAGUGUGAAGAAGUAGCUGCUUAGAAUAGUUUUAUUCACAAGAUAUAACCACCCUGUGCUCUAGCAGCUCUCCCUGGAGUUCUCACACAGAAAACAUGGCUUGAACAUGCAUGCGAGUCAGGCAGACUCUUGUGAUCCAUCAAAUCCCUCAUUCGUGGGCAAAGGGACAAUUCAGAGUCUCAUCUGCUAAGGAAACAGCAAUCAGUUUUUAUUUUGGAAAGGCAACAGUUCAUAAAGCAUCUCCUCCCACCUACUGCCGAGAACUGCCCUGAGCAUGAAGAAAAGCUGGAGAGAGCUGGAGAGAACACAAAUCCCAUCUGCUGGAGAAGAAGUGGGAACAUGGAAACACCAGUGCUUUCCAGCCAGUGCCAAGCAGCCAAAUGUUGCUGACACCUGAGUGCAGUUACUCAAGAAGGAACCCUUUGCCCAAGGCUCGGACAGUACGAAAUGCACUUUCUCUGACACACACAUUUCCUGGGAUACCCAUCACAGAUCCCUGCCUCAGCACCAGGAUCCCACUGGAGAGGUCACCCAUUAGAGCAGUAGCAUAAAGAAUUACUUCUUAAAAAUCAUAAGAAGUCUAUUAAGAGGAUUUUCUGGAGGGCAAGGUGGAAUUACAACUCCUUGGGUGGGGAUUUUCCUGCUGCUUACCCUGUCACAAUUCUGUUCCCUUUACUCCUGGACUUAGCCCUGGCAGGAGGAGAGCUGGGAGCCCUGGUGGGCAUUGCUGUGCCAGUGCUGUGGCUGUUGUGGAGCCAGCUGGAAACAGGCAUCAUGUUGGACUCUGCACUGUCACAGCCAGGCUGCACACCACAGGCACCCACAGGAUCUGCUGCUCGGUGUGGGGAGCCCAUGAGCCCACACAGAGCUCUGCAGGCUCGGAAGAGCAGCCUUGGCUGAGGGGCAGCCUAGGGAUGCUGGGCUGGUGCUGAUAGAACCUGAAUGUAAAAUAAUAACUUGUGUUUCCCGUCAUACCUGUGCUUCUGUAUUCUCACCUACCUGACUGUGCUGAUGAUGUGGAGUGAGCUUUGCUUCAUGCUGCAAGACUGAAACAUGGAAAAAACCAAAUGUGCAUGUCCCAGCCAUCCAGCACACAGCAUAUACAAACGAUUCAUGUUGAUGGUGUUGCUACAUGGGAUGUCUGUAGGACGAGAAGCACUCCCAGGAGGCUGGGAGGUCCUGGCAUGGGGUAGUGGGCACGUGUCCAGGCCAUCCCUCGCUGCCACACAGAGACUUCUCCAUCAGAGAAGCUGCCAUUGCCACUUUCUCCUGCAGUCAGAGCAACCUCACCCACCUGUGUCUGGUGCCACACUCUCCACAGCCACUCAGGAGAUGUAGCUGAGAAAACUGCAAAGCAAUACCAGCCUAAUUAUUACUACUACUAGGAAUAAAUGUUUUGGCACAGCAAAGAGCAGAGGGACCAGGCUGUUUGCUCAACAGCAGCUAAGAUGAAAAACAGCAUUGGAAAGCUGCAAUUAUAAAAAUGCUCACAAGUGAUUUCCAAACCACCCUCAAGCAGAUUAAAUGAAAAAGCAAUUUCUACUCAGCACCAACAUGAGUGUAAAUAUACUCAAGAAUCAAAAGGUGAGAGUGUUUGAGCUUCUCAUCCUCACAUCUCUUACCUCAAAUAUUUUUUUCUCCUGUUGAAACUCAUUAGUUCUAUGGAGCUGAGCAGCUUCUCAGCUCUGUUUUUGAGCUAACCAUACAGCAAGAACGGAAGUGAAGGUGGCUCCAGCAUUCAUUAAAGCUGAUGGAGAAAGUUGAACCCAGGAGGUCCCAGCCUGCUCUGCCUCCUCCACACCUGCCCCUCCCUUCUCAGGUAAAUGCUGGGGUUUAAGCAAUGCUUGUUCUCACUGCUCUGCUGUCAUUUAAAUGUCUCUCCCUGUGGAUAUUUAUGACUCUAAUGCCUAACAAGUCUUGUGCCAACUGCAUGUAUCACUGCUUUUGACAGAGGAAACAAAUAAA
This 2951-nucleotide long non-coding RNA is filed under the name Taeniopygia guttata (zebra finch). RNAcentral's name for it is "lncRNA (ENSTGUG00000019352.1)". The record is from RNAcentral. Lineage: Eukaryota; Metazoa; Chordata; Aves; Passeriformes; Estrildidae.